RNAcentral lists this ribosomal RNA (253 nucleotides) under uncultured bacterium. RNAcentral describes it as "partial 16S ribosomal RNA". It matches the Rfam family "Bacterial small subunit ribosomal RNA", at positions 524 to 776 of the family's 1533-position model. The record is from RNAcentral.
AACGUAGGUUCCGAGCGUUAUCCGGAUUUACUGGGCGUAAAGCGCGUUCAGGCGGUUUGGCAAGUCGGGCAUGAAAUCUCUCGGCUCAGCCGGGAGAGGUUGUCCGAUACUGCUGGACUUGAGGGCAGUAGAGGGUGGUGGAAUUCCGGGUGUAGUGGUGAAAUGCGUAGAUAUCCGGAGGAACACCAGUGGCGAAAGCGGCCACCUGGACUGCACCUGACGCUGACACGCGAAAGCUAGGGGAGCGAACGGG